Molecule: ribosomal RNA, 322 nt
Filed under: uncultured eukaryote
Lineage: Eukaryota
Description: partial 18S ribosomal RNA
Rfam family: Eukaryotic small subunit ribosomal RNA
Source: RNAcentral
CCCUUAGAUGCUCUGGGCCGCACGCGCGCUACACUGAUGCAUUCAACGAGUGUACCUUGGCCGAGAGGCCUGGGCAAUCUUUUGAACGUGCAUCGUGAUAGGGAUAGAUUAUUGCAAUUAUUAAUCUUGAACGAGGAAUUCCUAGUAAACGCAGAUCAUCAAUCUGCAUUGAUUACGUCCCUGCCCUUUGUACACACCGCCCGUCGCACCUACCGAUUGGAUGGUCCGGUGAAGCCUCGGGAUUGUGGCGGUUGCCUUUAUUGGUGGCCGCCGCGAGAACUUGUCUAAACCUUAUCAUCUAGAGGAAGGUGAAGUCGUAACA